Molecule: ribosomal RNA, 354 nt
Filed under: uncultured bacterium Px2-DGGE band a
Lineage: Bacteria
Description: bacterial SSU rRNA
Rfam family: Bacterial small subunit ribosomal RNA
Source: RNAcentral
CCSCCACARAGAUGUGGCUUUCCCUUCGGGGACUGGGACACAGGUGCUGCAUGGCAGUCGUCAGCUCGUGUCGUGAGAUGUUGGGUUAAGUCCCGCAACGAGCGCAACCCUCGCCAUUAGUUGCCAUCAUUUAGUUGGGAACUCUAAUGGGACUGCCGGUGCUAAGCCGGAGGAAGGUGGGGAUGACGUCAAGUCCUCAUGGCCCUUACAGGGUGGGCUACACACGUGCUACAAUGGCGACUACAGAGGGUUAAUCCUUAAAAGUCGUCUCAGUUCGGAUUGUCCUCUGCAACUCGAGGGCAUGAAGUUGGAAUCGCUAGUAAUCGCGGAUCAGCAUGCCGCGGUGAAUACGUY